AACAUCAUAGUAUAUCCCACACAUUAAGGUAUACCUCACAUCGUCUCAUCAAGGUAUACCCCAUACAUCAUAGUAUAUCCCACACAUUAAGGUAUACCUCACAUCGUCUCAUCAAGGUAUACCCCAUACAUCAUAGUAUAUCCCACACAUUAAGGUAUACCUCACAUCGUCUCAUCAAGGUAUACCCCAUACAUCAUAGUAUAUCCCACACAUUAAGGUAUACCUCACAUCGUCUCAUCAAGGUAUACCCCAUACAUCAUAGUAUAUCCCACUCAUUAAGGUAUACCUCACAUCGUCUCAUCAAGGUAUACCCCAUACAUCAUAGUAUAUCCCACACAUUAAGGUUUACAUCACAUCGUCUCAUCAAGGUAUACCCUACAUCUUCUGUUAUUUAUAUAUUACAUCUGUAAACCGUGUUAAUAAAAUAUAAUGAAACCAUGUUAAAACAAACUCAAGUAAAUCAUCAACAAUGUUUCUAGUGUGAAUUCUAUAACUGUCAUAACUGUGUAAACAUAUAUGUUCAUUCAAGACAUUAUUUUAUAUAGACAUAGUGAUAUUUACAAUUAUUUCACACAUUUUGGUUGACAAUACUUAUUUACUUAAAGUCAAAAUGUGUAAAUGUCUGUUUCCUGCCUCCAACAUUUUAAAAUAGGGUUGCUCGGUCAGGAUUUAAUUUUUAUUUAAUUUUUUGCAUGUUAACAAAAUCCCGAAAAAUUUCAUGUUUUCUCAGAGUUUGGUCCCGUUUUACACUUAUGCAUCAGGUAAUUUGCGCAUAAGUGAUGAUAAAUUAAUGUUUUUCAAUGGUUUGUAAAUUCUACAUUUGAUAAGCGAAGAUCUUAUUACAAAUUUGAAAGAAUUAUCCAAAGAAUAUUUGUAGGCUAAUAAGAAGGUUCUUAACACUUAUUCUUGAAUAACUUUUUGGAAAGGCAAUAAAAUAUUUCAGGGUCCGCAAUCGAACUUAGGGUCAUUCAGUAGGCAGGAAACAAGCAUAUUGUUUUUUGGCCUAAUGAAUAUGAUAAUUAUUAUAACA
Molecule: long non-coding RNA, 1030 nt
Organism: Mytilus californianus (California mussel)
Lineage: Eukaryota; Metazoa; Mollusca; Bivalvia; Mytilida; Mytilidae
Exons: 4
Source: RefSeq, a predicted model, not a curated record